CUACCCAAAGUCAGUUUUAUUGGGGGGAGGUUUUUUAAUAACCUUUGCCAACUUGGGCUGUUUGGGAGAAUAAAUAUGACCACACACUCCACAGUGGGCUAUACAACUAAGUGUAGUUCAUUACUAUUUUGUGGCCUACAUU
This 142-nucleotide small nucleolar RNA is filed under the name Castor canadensis (American beaver). RNAcentral describes it as "Small nucleolar RNA SNORA4 (ENSCCNG00000001125.1)". It matches the Rfam family "Small nucleolar RNA SNORA4". From Rfam's summary of the family: ACA4 is a member of the H/ACA class of snoRNA that guide the sites of modification of uridines to pseudouridines. The record is from Rfam by way of RNAcentral. Lineage: Eukaryota; Metazoa; Chordata; Mammalia; Rodentia; Castoridae.